RNAcentral lists this small nucleolar RNA (107 nucleotides) under Gossypium hirsutum (cotton). RNAcentral's name for it is "Plant small nucleolar RNA R71". It matches the Rfam family "Plant small nucleolar RNA R71". From Rfam's summary of the family: R71 is a member of the C/D box family of snoRNAs containing the C (UGAUGA) and D (CUGA) box motifs. Multiple nearly identical copies of this snoRNA have been identified in Arabidopsis, and it is thought to function as a 2'-O-ribose methylation guide for 18S ribosomal RNA. The record is from Rfam by way of RNAcentral. Lineage: Eukaryota; Viridiplantae; Streptophyta; Magnoliopsida; Malvales; Malvaceae.
AUUCCAUGUUGAGGGCACUUCUGUAAUAACUCUUUGUACCUUUCCCAUGCCUCAUACAAGGACUUGUCGUCCAUUUGUUGGAAAGUAGUGAUCUCGUUCCUCAACUU